GAAGGUAUAGCUCAAGUGGUAGAGCACAUGGGUUAACAUGCACGAGGUCCUGGGUUCAAUCCUCAGUACCUCCU
Molecule: transfer RNA, 74 nt
Organism: Camelus ferus (Wild Bactrian camel)
Lineage: Eukaryota; Metazoa; Chordata; Mammalia; Artiodactyla; Camelidae
Rfam family: tRNA
About the family: Transfer RNA (tRNA) molecules are approximately 80 nucleotides in length.
Source: Rfam